This is a non-coding RNA of Brugia malayi, 85 nucleotides long. The record is from RefSeq and is a predicted model, not a curated record. Lineage: Eukaryota; Metazoa; Nematoda; Chromadorea; Rhabditida; Onchocercidae.
GUAUUGCAACUUUACUUUGGUUAUCUAGCUGUAUGAGUAAGUUACUGGCUUCAUAAAGCUAGGUUACCAAAGCUAAGCACAAUAC